This 477-nucleotide ribosomal RNA is filed under the name uncultured bacterium. RNAcentral's name for it is "bacterial SSU rRNA". It matches the Rfam family "Bacterial small subunit ribosomal RNA", at positions 28 to 516 of the family's 1533-position model. The record is from RNAcentral.
GAUGAACGCUAGCUACAGGCUUAACACAUGCAAGUCGAGGGGCAGCAUGUCGGUUGCUUGCAACCGAUGAUGGCGACCGGCGCACGGGUGAGUAACGCGUAUCCAACCUACCCUUGUCCAUCGGAUAACCCGUCGAAAGGCGGCCUAACACGAUAUGCGGUUCACAGCGGGCAUCUAACGUGAACGAAAUGUGAAGGAGAAGGAUGGGGAUGCGUCUGAUUAGCUUGUUGGCGGGGUAACGGCCCACCAAGGCGACGAUCAGUAGGGGUUCUGAGAGGAAGGUCCCCCACAUUGGAACUGAGACACGGACCAGACUCCUACGGGAGGCAGCAGUGGGGAAUAUUGCACAAUGGACGAAAGUCUGAUGCAGCAACGCCGCGUGGAGGAUGACACAUUUCGGUGCGUAAACUCCUUUUAUAUGAGAAGAUAAUGACGGUAUUAUAUGAAUAAGCACCGGCUAACUCCGUGCCAGCAGCC